RNAcentral lists this long non-coding RNA (2751 nucleotides) under Mus musculus (house mouse). RNAcentral describes it as "long non-coding RNA chr8:81964591-81967342". Lineage: Eukaryota; Metazoa; Chordata; Mammalia; Rodentia; Muridae. The record is from RNAcentral.
AAAAGAGUAACACCGACAGGUAAAAGAGCCAGAGAUGCCCCCACUCUCACUCUUGGGAGGCCCACAAGAACACCAAGCUACAUAACCUUAACACAAAUGCAGAGGACCGAGGUCAGAGCCAUGCAGGCUCCCUGACUGCUGCUUCCAUUUCUGUGAGCCCACUCUGAGCCCUGCUUAAUUGAUUCUGUGGACCGUGUUCUUCUGGCGUCCUAGACCCUUCUGGCCCCCACAAUUUCUUCUCCCACAAGGUCUCCCAUACCACCUUGUUUUAAUGGUAUUUCCUUGACGCCAAAGUCUGAAAAGUUCUGUUAGACGUGACUAAAAACUAUUAAAAUGUUGAAGUUACACAGAGUGGAAUAAAAUGAGAAAAUUUAAAAUAACAGUACAACUUCUAGUUAUUAAAUUGUUAAGUUUCACUUUGGAUUUUGUUCUAUUAGUGAUUCUAGUCUCACUUUUCUGUCUGCUCCUGCCUAAAGAAAAACAAUCAAUCGUGGUUAAUUCUAAUUUUAAGGGAGUAUGGCUAAGAAUAAAUGUGGUUCUUUAGCUGGACAUUUUUCUUCAUUAUUUAGAAACCAGGAAAUUAACCUCCUACAUAGAUCAAUCCACUAUUUUGUAGUAAUUACAAGCAAAAUUCAGGGCUCUGGGAUCCAAAGAGAAAAACCUAGUUGUUCUAAUAUUUAUCAGUAAUUGUAUAUUCUCAAAUUAGUAUUACAAUAUACUAAGUAACCCUCUCUUAGAUUAAAAUUUAAAAAGUAACUUUCAUAGAAAAUACUGUUUUUUGAAGAGUGAUCUGUUUUGAAUAUGACAGACUUUCUCUGAAUUUGAGUUAAUAAUUGUACACUGUAUACAUUGUACUGCUAUUUCAGAUCAUGACACAAAGUUUACAUAGCCAUAUACAUAACUGUAGAACAAAGCUGUUUCCUGUUAUUGAAAUCCAUGUUUAUUUGGGGAAGAAGAUUCAGUAGGUAUUUUCCAGUUUGUUCUUCUGAGUUACAUUUUGAGUUUCAAUGCUAAGAUUUAAAACUUCAAAUAAACCUACUUAAAAUGUGAAACAGGAUAAGCCUUUACCAUCGGAAAUCAUGAACAUAGAAUAGACUCUCAGUUAUCCAUGAUUUAUGAGAGUUGAGUGUGGCUAAGAGGCAGAAACAACACAGCUUUAGGUACAGGCAUGACUGGCCAGAGUGAGACUUUGUAUGCUUUUCUCAAUAUCAUGACAAAGGCAUUAUGUGUCCUUGUACAAGACUUCUUGGCACUAAUGUAAAAUUACAUUUGAGGAGAAACAUGGGAAAAUGAAAGAGACACUGUUUUAGAAUUUUGAAAAAGUGCUAUGUUUCUGCAUCUGGAUGAUUUCAAAUGUUCCUAUGCAGGUAGAUGCUAAGUGAUACUUGAAGUCUUUUCUCUCCUUAAAAUUCAUCUAAUGAUUAUUUAGAGUUUCAUAAUUAGUGUAUAUUGGUUAUGCUUUAAUUUUUAAUUUAAAAAUUAAAUUUUAAAAUUUAGUUUUGAAUUUUGAAUUAUUGAUGCAACAAUUUAAUUUGAACAUUUCUUUUCUAUGUGUACACUGUGUGAGCAUGUGGAAGUCAGAAAUGGACACUGGGUUUCUUCCUUGUUUUAUUUUAUAAUUUUAACAUUUUUUUUAAUUCAAUUAAGUAUCUUUCUGAACUAUACUGCCCUUAAAUGAUCCCCAAUUUCAGCUAUCUCUCUCCACACUCUCUUAUUUCAUUCCUCUCCCACUCCUUCCCCAAACUUUCCAGAGUCUACCCACAAAAUCUUUUCUAUUUCUCCUCCCUAGGGAGAUCCACGAACCCCUGCUAGAGUCCUCCUCUUUACCUGGCCUUUCUGGAUCUGUGCAUUGUAGCUUGAUUAUAAUCUAUUUAACAGCAAAUAUCUGUAUAUAAGUGACUACAUACCAUAUUUGUCUUUUUGGGUCCAGGUUACCUUAGGAUUAUUUUUCUAGUUCCAUGCAUUUGCCUGCAAAUUCCAUGAUGUCACUUUUAACAGCUGAGCAAUAAUCCAUUGUGUAAAUGUACCACAAUUUCUUUAUCUGUUCUUCUGUUGUAGGCUAUCUAGGUGAUUCCAAUUUCUGGUUAUUAUGAAUUAAGUUGCAAUGGACAUAGCUGAGCUUGAGCAAUUAUCCUCAUGGAAGUACAAUAAACAUGGGUUUAUGCAAAAGAGUGAUAUAGCUUGGUCUUGAAGUAGAUCAAUGCCCAAUUUUCUGAGGAACCACCAUAUUGAUUUCCAUAGUGUCUGUACAAAUUUUCAUUCCCACCAGCAAUGAAGGAGUGUUCUCCUUGCUGCACAUUCUCAUCACCAUGAGCUGUCAUGUGUCACUUUUUAAUCUUAGCCACUCUGAAAUGUAUAAGAUGACAUCUUAAAGUAGCUUCUAAUUGCAUUCCCUUGAUGGCUAGAGAUGUAUUGCAUGUCUUUAAGUGUUACUUAGCCAUUUGAGAUUCCUCUAUUGAGAGUUAUCUGUUUCAAUCUGUACACUGUGUUUUAAUUAUAUUUUUUAUAUCCAGUUUCUUGAAUGUGACCAUAGAAUGUGACCUGUAUGUUUUUAGUGUGAGCAUUUGGUAUUGGACAGCCAAUUGGUGUGCUCUUUUCUCUUGCUUUUUUUGUUUGUUUAUUUGUUUGUUUGUUUCCUGGCAUUUUAUCUUCAGGAACAAACACACCUUGCCUUUUAACAAUAUGUAAAUCUUCCCUAGAAUUUCAUACACUCUACUAUCAUUCAUUUUUAAUUUAUUUUUACUUUCUCGU